GGCUUCGUAGCUCAGCUGGUAGAGCGCUUGCUGCGUUCAGGUAUGGUGUUUGUGUCGCUGGAUAGAACCCAGCCGAAACCC
Molecule: non-coding RNA, 81 nt
Organism: Paragonimus skrjabini miyazakii
Lineage: Eukaryota; Metazoa; Platyhelminthes; Trematoda; Plagiorchiida; Troglotrematidae
Source: the annotation of a GenBank genome assembly